UUUCCGUAGGUGAACCUGCGGAAGGAUCAUUACUGGGUUCAUUCGGCUGGCGUGGUAAGACAUGCCAGCCUACCACCCGCCCUCUGUCAUAUGCGAAUUGUAUUGCUUCGGCCGCUGGUCCUGCGUGCGGGUCUGCCUCCUUCGUCCGUCCUCCGCUUCGUCUGAAGGGGGGUGACGGGCGUCGGGGGACUCUGACCGACGGGGGGUCCACGGUCGGUCUCUCAACUCAUGAACUGAAAGAUUGUGUCUGAAGCGAUUUUUAAAUAACGAAAAUUAAAACUUUCAACAACGGAUCUCUUGGUUCUG
Molecule: unclassified non-coding RNA, 306 nt
Filed under: plant metagenome
Description: partial contains small subunit ribosomal RNA, internal transcribed spacer 1, and 5.8S ribosomal RNA
Source: RNAcentral